GACGAACGCUGGCGGCGUGCUUAACACAUGCAAGUCGAACGGAAAGGCCCUGCUUUUGUGGGGUGCUCGAGUGGCGAACGGGUGAGUAACACGUGAGUAACCUGCCCUUGACUUUGGGGUAACUUCAGGAAACUGGGGCUAAUACCGGAUAGGAGCUCCUGCUGCAUGGUGGGGGUUGGAAAGUUUCGGCGGUUGGGGAUGGACUCGCGGCUUAUCAGCUUGUUGGUGGGGUAGUGGCUUACCAAGGCUUUGACGGGUAGCCGGCCUGAGAGGGUGACCGGCCACAUUGGGACUGAGAUACGGCCCAGACUCCUACGGGAGGCAGCAGUGGGGAAUAUUGCACAAUGGGCGGAAGCCUGAUGCAGCAACGCCGCGUGCGGGAUGACGGCCUUCGGGUUGUAAACCGCCUUCGCCUGUGACGAAGCGUGAGUGACGGUAAUGGGUAAAGAAGCACCGGCUAACUACGUG
RNAcentral lists this ribosomal RNA (468 nucleotides) under uncultured bacterium. RNAcentral's name for it is "partial 16S ribosomal RNA". It matches the Rfam family "Bacterial small subunit ribosomal RNA", at positions 28 to 507 of the family's 1533-position model. The record is from RNAcentral.